Molecule: ribosomal RNA, 453 nt
Filed under: uncultured bacterium
Lineage: Bacteria
Description: bacterial SSU rRNA
Rfam family: Bacterial small subunit ribosomal RNA
Source: RNAcentral
UACGGGAAGGCAGCAGUGGGGAAUAUUGCACAAUGGGCGCAAGCCUGAUGCAGCCAUGCCGCGUGUAUGAAGAAGGCCUUCGGGUUGUAAAGUACUUUCAGUCGUGAGGAAGGUGUUAAGGUUAAUAACCUUAGCAAUUGACGUUAGCGACAGAAGAAGCACCGGCUAACUCCGUGCCAGCAGCCGCGGUAAUACGGAGGGUGCGAGCGUUAAUCGGAAUUACUGGGCGUAAAGGGCACGCAGGCGGUUAAUUAAGUUGGAUGUGAAAUCCCCGGGCUUAACCUGGGAAUGGCAUUCAAGACUGGUUAGCUAGAGUCUUGUAGAGGGGGUAGAAUUCCAUGUGUAGCGGUGAAAUGCGUAGAGAUGUGGAGGAAUACCGGUGGCGAAGGCGGCCCCUGGGACAAGACUGACGCUCAUGUGCGAAAGCGUGGGGAGCAAACAGGAUUAGAUACC